Oryza sativa Japonica Group (Japanese rice) is the source of this 942-nucleotide non-coding RNA. Lineage: Eukaryota; Viridiplantae; Streptophyta; Magnoliopsida; Poales; Poaceae. The record is from RefSeq and is a predicted model, not a curated record.
ACCUGCACGAGUCGUGUGCCGACGCGCACCGUCUCGAUUGCCUCCAAUGCCGAGGUUGACGGUUAUGAGGAGCGCCCAUUCCUCGUAGUUGGUCCUCGUCAGAACCGGGUAGUAGACGGAGGCGCUCGACUCCCUGACAACGCGUGGCUGGACGCCUUGAGGCUAUCGCUCGCCACGCCCGCGCCCAUGGCGCGGCGGGGAUUCUGCAGGUCGGCGCGUGGUGGCGUGCACGACGGCCGGUGCGGCGGUGUACGCGACAGCCGCAGCGGUGGCGAGCGCUGCGACAUGGCACCAGCGAGCCAACGAGGCUCGUAUACCAAUUGUUGGCGAACAACCUAGCUACCGCAAGGUGUUCGACGAAAUUCCAAUCAAGAACAGAGUUUGCGAGAGGGUGUUUUUGCUGCUAACAACUUGGCAGCUUUUAUGAUUGUACUAGGAACUUAAAUAUUAAAGCAAAUACAACGACUAGAAACGUAGGAAUCGGUGCGGAUGCGGGUGCGGCACCAGGAGCACCCUGAUGACAAGUGUCGGAAUUGCAAUAAGAUAGGCCACUGGGCUAAAGAUUGUCGCUCAAAGGCCAAGAAUGCCGAAGGCCACAUCGCAGCGGAGGACGACGACGAGCCCACGCUGCUGAUGGCCCGGACGUGCUUUGGUUGAACGGUGAUGCCCGCGCGGGUGUUGACUGACAGUUUUUUUUUUUGGGUUCAGAUUUGGAUAGAACAUGAGGAUCCAAGGACAUAGCAGGGUGCCUUCAGCAAGCUGACCGUGCUUAAUUUUGGUGGAAUCUUAGCCGGGCGUGAGCUCUCUUGGACGAUCUUCCUCCUCCCGGAAUUCGACCUUUCGGUCCUCAUGGUUCUUCCUGUUUGUCUUGCAAUGGCAUAGUUAUUGGCAACAAAAUAGAGUGACAAUCGCCUGCUCAUGAUGAAUAUUUUUCAGUUCAAA